UUUAUAAUUUUCAAGUAAAAGUAAAAAUUGCAAAUUGAUUUGAAAAAAUUUCUAAGGAAGGCAGAAUAUGACGUCACACGGGUGCGCGAAUUUGUGAAUACAAAGUUGCCCGCUUUGAUACUUGGCCGCCGUGCUUUACCUGCGCUUGAGAGGCGAAGCAAGGCGCGUUCCAGUUCGGCCGAAGCUGAUAAGUUGGAGUUUGCGUGUGGCGCCGCUCUGUCAGUGUAGUGGUGUGACUUGACACUCGAUGACUGAUAUCGAGUUCUCUGAGUACUCGUCAGCGAUUUGUGUGAAUUUAGUGCUGAUAGCGUAGUGGAUUUUCUCAAUUCGGAAACAUGUUGAUUAAAGAAUACCGAGUCACGUUGCCGUUAACAGUUGAGGAGUAUCAAGUAGCGCAACUGUAUUCAGUAGCCGAAGCAAGUAAGAACGAAAACUGGAGGCGGUGA
Molecule: long non-coding RNA, 446 nt
Filed under: Bemisia tabaci
Lineage: Eukaryota; Metazoa; Arthropoda; Insecta; Hemiptera; Aleyrodidae
Description: lncRNA ENSSSA3NGG001649
Source: RNAcentral